CUCUGUGACUCCUACGGGGAGGCAGCAGUGGGGAAUAUUGCACAAUGGGGGAAACCCUGAUGCAGCCAUGCCGCGUGUGUGAAGAAGGCCUUCGGGUUGUAAAGCACUUUCAGUAGGGAGGAAGGUAGUGUAGUUAACACCUGCAUUAUUUGACGUUACCUACAGAAGAAGCACCGGCUAACUCCGUGCCAGCAGCCGCGGUAAUACGGAGGGUGCGAGCGUUAAUCGGAAUUACUGGGCGUAAAGCGCAUGCAGGCGGCCUGUUAAGUCAGAUGUGAAAGCCCGGGGCUUAACCUCGGAAUUGCAUUUGAAACUGGCAGGCUAGAGUCUUGUAGAGGGGGGUAGGAAUUUCAGGUGUAGCGGUGAAAUAGCGUAGAGAUCUGAAGGAAUACCAGUGGCGAAGGCGGCCCCCUCGGACAAAGACUGACGCUCAGAUGCGAAAGCGUGGGGAGCAAACAGGAUUAGAUACCCUGGUAG
Molecule: ribosomal RNA, 477 nt
Filed under: uncultured bacterium
Lineage: Bacteria
Description: bacterial SSU rRNA
Rfam family: Bacterial small subunit ribosomal RNA
Source: RNAcentral